AAACCGUGAUGAGGAUACUUUAAAAGAAGGUCUUUAAAUCGUUCCAUGCAUCGAGAAAAUGAUUCAUUUGGUAUUUGGCGAAACUGGAAGAUGUCAUUCCUAAGUUU
Molecule: small nucleolar RNA, 107 nt
Filed under: Cephalotus follicularis
Lineage: Eukaryota; Viridiplantae; Streptophyta; Magnoliopsida; Oxalidales; Cephalotaceae
Description: Plant small nucleolar RNA R71
Rfam family: Plant small nucleolar RNA R71
About the family: R71 is a member of the C/D box family of snoRNAs containing the C (UGAUGA) and D (CUGA) box motifs. Multiple nearly identical copies of this snoRNA have been identified in Arabidopsis, and it is thought to function as a 2'-O-ribose methylation guide for 18S ribosomal RNA.
Source: Rfam by way of RNAcentral